UCUGUAAACUUUGUGUAUGGGGCACCGCUUCUCAGAAAGCUCUCAGUGAGAUGUUGUGGGUUUGAAACCCAAACACCUUCCUGAUAAGAGGCAGAGAUGUGAUAUGCCACGCCAUCACAUCUUUAGCUCUGCCUGUGUGUUCCUGCACUUACCAAUAAAUAACCAAACACGAAUCAACUUGUAUAUUUUGACUCUGAUCAGUGAGCCAGACCACCGGUGAAAAUGUCUGUGAAGAUCCUCUCCAUCACUCUCCUCCUGCUCUCGGUGUGUGUGUGCUUCAGCUACUCUGCAGCUGGUCCUGGAAGUAAACGCCCGUGCUGCAUUGUCGUCACCAACAUGGAUAAGUGCGCCGAGGUGGUGGGGGAAACAUAUCGUCAGCAGGCUGCAAGAGGACGCUGUGUGAAGGCUAUAAUUUUCAACACAAAAACAGGACAGCUUUGUGCUGAUCCAAACACUCAGUGGGUCAAGCAUCUCACUGCCAGAAUGAGGAAGGUGUGAAGCAUAAAGUCUGUGGUGAAGCAUCGCUGCCUGUCUGCUACAUCAGUGUUUUCUUUAGCCUCACCUUUAAAGUCUUAUUCAUACCAGAGAACUUUCUUAUUGUAACUUUAUUAUAACCUUUUUCACAUUAGUAGAUUAGGAUUUUUACUCUUACCUGUAGAGUAACCCUGUAUUUUAUUCUUAGCGUCGACUUUCAUGAAACAAAUUGUUUUUAAGGGAUCUUUAUUUUUAAAUGGAGUUCCAGCUUUUUCCCCUGCUUACUCUGUGUUUAUGUGAUUUAAAAAAAUAAAAAUAAAAAAGGUGUCUGGCACAGCUGUGAGUCAUCAUUAUAUUGUGC
Haplochromis burtoni (Burton's mouthbrooder) is the source of this 835-nucleotide long non-coding RNA. RefSeq annotates it as eotaxin. The transcript has 4 exons. Lineage: Eukaryota; Metazoa; Chordata; Actinopteri; Cichliformes; Cichlidae. The record is from RefSeq and is a predicted model, not a curated record.